CAUAGUCACCUCGUCCUCCUUCUCCUUGACCUCAUGGAGAAUCUUCUCCAGUUCCUCGGACACCUUCUCAUAGUAGGAGCUGGUCUGUUCCACACUCACCACAGCUGAAAACCAAAAAGGGGACAUUAGUAAAGCUAGAUGCGGUUUUCAGAUCCUACCUUCUGCUCCGGGGAUGUCUGUGGCGUCCCACUCCUCUCUCUUGUUGAUCUUAAUGAGGGACAGACGCCUCUUGGAGAACCUUCUUUUCAAACUCAUUCUCUUUGAGGACUUCUUCUUUGUCGAGGAGGCCGGCGUCGAGGCGGGCAGGCACACAGCGGUGUGGUCCGCAUCAUGGUCCGAAGCCUCGGGAAUGUCGGACGGACACUCCCGCUCCUCGUCUUUCUCCUCAGUGCUCCGUCGUGAGAACAGACCCAGGAAGUUCUUCCACAAGGAGGGCUUUUUGUUCUUCUUGGACUUCUUGCUGACAUUGUUGUCCGGCGGUAUGUCCGGGGGAGUUUCGGUGGGAGCAAGUGACCGGAACGUCCCGUCGUUCAGGGCCCCGGCCAAAUGAAUGGAAGGGUCGCUGGAAUGUCUCCGGUGCCUUUUGGGGAUGGUCACCCACUUGAGUUUGCGCUCGUGACGCUUGAGUCCCAGUGACUCAUCGUUGAGGCUGAGGCUGCGUUUGACAUAGACUUCCAGAAGACGCCGCGUGUCAUUGGGCGCCACGAAAAUCACAGAACUUUCGUUGGGCCGUUGCAUGGUGGGGUAACUGCAAACACAAGAGGAUAGAGAUAUUCUUAUUGUAUAAAUAAGAAAGCCCUGAAUAGUUUGCGUGUUGUUUCCUGUACAUGACUCACCUUCAUCGGAAAUCAACAGAAAGCAAGCGGUCGCAUUAGAGGUUUGUUGUUGCUCAAUAGUAAAACUUUUGGAUGGAUUGAAAAAAACACAUACGACAUACAAGUAACAUACAGUCUGAGUCCGAUCAAAUAGAAUACAGCUCUCGUAUUCAAGACAAUUGAUAAAUACAGCGAUAUCGAGCGAAUACAAUAAAUGUUUGCAUUCUU
Molecule: long non-coding RNA, 1043 nt
Organism: Syngnathus typhle (broad-nosed pipefish)
Lineage: Eukaryota; Metazoa; Chordata; Actinopteri; Syngnathiformes; Syngnathidae
Exons: 2
Source: RefSeq, a predicted model, not a curated record